UGGGGAAUAUUGCACAAUGGCCGCAACCCUGAUGCAGCCAUGCCGCGUGUAUGAAGAAGGCCUUCGGGUUGUAAAGUACUUUCAGCGGGGAGGAAGGGAGUAAAGUUAAUACCUUUGCUCAUUGACGUUACCCGCAGAAGAAGCACCGGCUAACUCCGUGCCAGCAGCCGCGGUAAUACGGAGGGUGCAAGCGUUAAUCGGAAUUACUGGGCGUAAAGCGCACGCAGGCGGUUUGUUAAGUCAGAUGUGAAAUCCCCGGGCUCAACCUGGGAACUGCAUCUGAUACUGGCAAGCUUGAGUCUCGUAGAGGGGGGUAGAAUUCCAGGUGUAGCGGUGAAAUGCGUAGAGAUCUGGAGGAAUACCGGUGGCGAAGGCGGCCCCCUGGACGAAGACUGACGCUCAGGUGCGAAAGCGUGGGGAGCAAACA
This 427-nucleotide ribosomal RNA is filed under the name uncultured bacterium. Its description in RNAcentral is "partial 16S ribosomal RNA". It matches the Rfam family "Bacterial small subunit ribosomal RNA", at positions 355 to 774 of the family's 1533-position model. The record is from RNAcentral.